GUGUGGGGUCUGGGGGGCUUGCCAGGGAGUGGGGCUGAGUUUGGGCUCCUGGGGACUCUCAUCCCCACCCCUUGGUCUCCCAGGGAGCGGCCUG
Molecule: non-coding RNA, 94 nt
Organism: Eptesicus fuscus (big brown bat)
Lineage: Eukaryota; Metazoa; Chordata; Mammalia; Chiroptera; Vespertilionidae
Source: RefSeq, marked provisional